UACAGAGGGUGCGAGCGUUAAUCGGAAUUACUGGGCGUAAAGCGCACGUAGGCGGCUUGGUAUGUCGGGUGUGAAAUCCCCAGGCUCAACCUGGGAACUGCAUCCGAUACUGGAUGGCUUGAAUUCGGGAGAGGGAUGCAGAAUUCCAGGUGUAGCGGUGAAAUGCGUAGAUAUCUGGAGGAAUACCGGUGGCGAAGGCGGCAUCCUGGACCGACAUUGACGCUGAUGAGCGAAAGCUAGGGGAGCAAACGGG
RNAcentral lists this ribosomal RNA (253 nucleotides) under uncultured bacterium. RNAcentral describes it as "partial 16S ribosomal RNA". It matches the Rfam family "Bacterial small subunit ribosomal RNA", at positions 524 to 776 of the family's 1533-position model. The record is from RNAcentral.